ACCGACUGUUAGUAACGUCCCGAAUUUUCCGGGAAAAUUGAAAAGCGCGCGAUAUACGGCCGAUUUUUUUCCGAAAAAAAAAUUUUUUUUGAGUAUUAAUUUCUUUAUCCGUAUGACGGUGUUUAGUGUGUGCUGUUCUGUGUUGUGUGUGUGAGUGUUUUAAUAUAUGGUAAAAAGGAUUCAAAUAAUCCCCUGAAAAGCUUGAUUGAUUUGAG
Molecule: unclassified non-coding RNA, 215 nt
Filed under: Melitaea cinxia (Glanville fritillary)
Lineage: Eukaryota; Metazoa; Arthropoda; Insecta; Lepidoptera; Nymphalidae
Description: misc RNA ENSMCXG00005007793.1
Source: RNAcentral